AGAAUCAACGCUGGCGGCGUGCCUAACACAUGCAAGUCGCACGAGAAAGGGUAGCAAUGCCUGAGUACAGUGGCGCACGGGUGAGUAACACGUGAAUAAUCUACCUCCGAGUGGGGAAUAACCUAGGGAAACCUGGGCUAAUACCGCAUAACACUUACGAGUCAAAGCAGCAAUGCGCUUGGAGAGGAGUUCGCGGCAGAUUAGCUAGUUGGUGGGUAAUGGCCCACCAAGGCGAUGAUCUGUA
RNAcentral lists this ribosomal RNA (244 nucleotides) under uncultured bacterium. RNAcentral describes it as "partial small subunit ribosomal RNA". It matches the Rfam family "Bacterial small subunit ribosomal RNA", at positions 26 to 285 of the family's 1533-position model. The record is from RNAcentral.